UUUAUAUAGUUUAACACAAAACACUAGGCUGUGAUUCUAGUAUAAGAGACAUUCUCUUAUGAACC
Molecule: transfer RNA, 65 nt
Filed under: Leposoma nanodactylus
Lineage: Eukaryota; Metazoa; Chordata; Lepidosauria; Squamata; Gymnophthalmidae
Description: tRNA-His
Source: RNAcentral